RNAcentral lists this small nuclear RNA (20 nucleotides) under Arabidopsis thaliana (thale cress). RNAcentral describes it as "snRNA_11087". Lineage: Eukaryota; Viridiplantae; Streptophyta; Magnoliopsida; Brassicales; Brassicaceae. The record is from RNAcentral.
UAGUCGGCUCGGUUACCUGG